UGAAGAAUAUUGGGCAAUGGGGGAAACCCUGACCCAGCAACGCCGCGUGAAGGAAGAAGGUUUUCGGAUUGUAAACUUCUGUCCCAUGGGACGAAACAAAUGACGGUACCAUGGGAGGAAGCCCCGGCUAACUACGUGCCAGCAGCCGCGGUAAUACGUAGGGGGCAAGCGUUGUCCGGAAUUAUUGGGCGUAAAGGGUGCGUAGGCGGCCUUUCAAGUUGGAUGUGAAAUCCCCGUGCUUAACAUGGGAAUUGCAUUCAAAACUGGAGGGCUUGAGUGUGGAAGAGGUAAGUGGAAUUCCCAGUGUAGCGGUGAAAUGCGUAGAUAUUGGGAGGAACACCAGUGGCGAAGGCGACUUACUGGGCCACAACUGACGCUGAUGCACGAAAGCGUGGGGAGCAAACAGG
RNAcentral lists this ribosomal RNA (407 nucleotides) under uncultured prokaryote. RNAcentral's name for it is "bacterial SSU rRNA". It matches the Rfam family "Bacterial small subunit ribosomal RNA", at positions 355 to 776 of the family's 1533-position model. RNAcentral also lists the same sequence under 1 other name. The record is from RNAcentral.